RNAcentral lists this ribosomal RNA (524 nucleotides) under uncultured bacterium. RNAcentral describes it as "bacterial SSU rRNA". It matches the Rfam family "Bacterial small subunit ribosomal RNA", at positions 355 to 896 of the family's 1533-position model. The record is from RNAcentral.
UAGGGAAUAUUGCACAAUGGGCGAAAGCCUGAUGCAGCAACGCCGCGUGCGCGAAGAAGGUCUUCGGAUCGUAAAGCGCCUUUCUGGGAGAUGAGAAAGGACAGUAUCCCAGGAAUAAGUCUCGGCUAACUACGUGCCAGCAGCCGCGGUAAAACGUAGGAGGCGAGCGUUAUCCGGAUUCACUGGGCGUAAAGCGCGUGCAGGCGGUUUGGUAAGUUGGGCGUGAAAUCUCCCGGCUCAACUGGGAGAGGUCGUCUAAUACUACCAGACUAGAGAGCGGUAGAGGAAAAUGGAAUUCCCGGUGUAGUGGUGAAAUGCGUAGAUAUCGGGAGGAACACCAGUGGCGAAGGCGAUUUUCUGGACCGUUUCUGACGCUCAGACGCGAAAGCUAGGGUAGCAAACGGGAUUAGAGACCCCGGUAGUCCUAGCUGUAAACGAUGGACGCUAGAUGUUCCUGCGUUUAUGCAGGAGUGUCGAAGCUAACGCGUUAAGCGUCCCGCCUGGGGAGUACGGUCGCAAGAUUG